This 828-nucleotide long non-coding RNA is filed under the name Nicotiana benthamiana. RNAcentral describes it as "long non-coding RNA (NBEN_LNC035743)". Lineage: Eukaryota; Viridiplantae; Streptophyta; Magnoliopsida; Solanales; Solanaceae. The record is from RNAcentral.
CAAACAAACACCAAAAAGAAAAUGCUGCUGCUGAUGCUUCUCCGGCAGUUCGUCACCACGCAUGUCGCCAUGAACCCCCAACAGCCCCUCCUCGUCUUCUCCUUUGACAUCCAGAACACGACCUCCCUCCUAUCUUCAUCGUUACCUUUGUUCCCAAACGAGCAUCAAUAGAAGCCAUUGCUGCUGCUUCUCCUUCGUUCCUGUCUUCAGCUCGCCUCCCAAACAGUCAAUGACCACCCUCCACCUUCCCAAACGACCAGAACAACACCAAUGAACACCCCAGUGAUGCCUAACCCCGUUACCAAACGACCUCCUCCGUUCCUCCUCUGCCAGUCCAGCCACUCCCUCACGUCGUCGACCCUACAGCCUGUCGCCACCAUGAAACGAACCCCCCACGGACUGUCCAAAAAAUCAGUCCGCCAUAGCCCAUGAACAACCCAACAAUAAAACGCCCACCUCCAGCCACAAGCAGCGGCGUCGCUGCUGCCGCUCGUCCAAGCCCCACCAUCGUCUAUAUAUAUAUAUACAUACAUACAUAUAUAUAUGUAUAUAUGUAUGUAUAUAUGUAUAUGAGCUGUCUAUAUAUAUAUAUAUAUAUAUAUAUAUAUAUAUAUAUAUUAGCCGAGUGGAUCAUGGAUUCGUUGAGAUCGUUGUUGAGAUUCCGGGUAGAUUCGAGUUAUUUUUGUGUUUCAAAAUUUUCGGGCAGAUUUGUUUCAUUCGAAUUCAUCGUUGUUUAUAUCCGGUUAGUUGGUUUAAAUUUCAUUUGUAUCCGUAUUUUUGUUUGAUAUUUUAGAUCUAAAAUCAGUAUAUAUUUGAUUAUUUUCUUGA